RNAcentral lists this ribosomal RNA (427 nucleotides) under uncultured prokaryote. RNAcentral describes it as "bacterial SSU rRNA". It matches the Rfam family "Bacterial small subunit ribosomal RNA", at positions 355 to 774 of the family's 1533-position model. The record is from RNAcentral.
UGGGGAAUUUUGGACAAUGGGCGCAAGCCUGAUCCAGCCAUGCCGCGUGAGUGAAGAAGGCCUUCGGGUUGUAAAGCUCUUUCGGUUGGGAAGAAAUUGCUUCGGAUAAUACCCGGAGUAGAUGACGGUACCAGCAUAAGAAGCACCGGCUAACUACGUGCCAGCAGCCGCGGUAAUACGUAGGGUGCGAGCGUUAAUCGGAAUUACUGGGCGUAAAGCGUGCGCAGGCGGUUUUGUAAGUCAGAUGUGAAAGCCCCGGGCUCAACCUGGGAACUGCAUUUGAGACUGCAAGGCUAGAGUGUGGCAGAGGGGGGUGGAAUUCCACGUGUAGCAGUGAAAUGCGUAGAGAUGUGGAGGAACACCGAUGGCGAAGGCAGCCCCCUGGGCCAAUACUGACGCUCAUGCACGAAAGCGUGGGGAGCAAACA